Molecule: long non-coding RNA, 779 nt
Filed under: Rosa chinensis
Lineage: Eukaryota; Viridiplantae; Streptophyta; Magnoliopsida; Rosales; Rosaceae
Description: sRNA RchiOBHm_Chr1g0381521
Source: RNAcentral
GGUUUCACGUUCGUCGGAGCUCGUGGGUUCGCCUUGAUGUUCUUAACAACUCUCUAGAAGGAAUCGAGGGCUGAAAUUGAAGUGUUUACUUCGAAAAUCGAGCUCGCCGGUUUCUGGAAAUUUUCCGGCCACCUUCAUACUGUUCAAGGUGAUUGACGGUCUUCCUUGGUGAGCGGUUUUGGCGUGUUUUGUGAGAUUGAAGACGCAGCGGGAUUAGAGGUGAGUAAAUCUCACGUGGUUCAUAUUACGAACCUUGCACUUUUAAUUAAUUUAUUUGUCGUAAUUGUGUGAAAAAUAUUUAUGGAAUAAAUAUUUGUUUUUAAUCACAUGGACUUGAUCAACUACGGUCCAUAGGUAAGCAAAAUGAUUUUAAAUUAUACAAAAUGAAUUUCCUGUUUUCUUGCGUGAACUAUAGUUGGUAUUAGUAAUUAUCCCUGAGUGGGUGAUUUUGUAUAUAUAUAUUUACGUGGAUAUAUAUAUGGAAUGGUGUGACAUUGAAGAGUGUGGAAUUGUGAUGAUUUGUUUAUUAUGUGGGGGAUGUAUAGAGUGUUGGGACGUAGUGCUCUGAGGACUGAGAGUCCGAAGAACGCCGGUUAAAUGAUAACCGAGAUGUAGUGCUCUGAGGACUGGGAGCCCGAAGAACGCCGGUUAAAUGAUAACCGACAUGUAGUGCUCUGAGGACUGAGAGUCCGAAGACCGCCGGUUAAAUAAUAAUCGAGAUGUAGUGCUCUGAGGACAGGGUGUCCGAAGACCGCCGGUUAAAUAAUAACCGAGAUGAC